RNAcentral lists this ribosomal RNA (301 nucleotides) under uncultured bacterium. RNAcentral's name for it is "partial 16S ribosomal RNA". It matches the Rfam family "Bacterial small subunit ribosomal RNA", at positions 509 to 807 of the family's 1533-position model. The record is from RNAcentral.
CAGUCGCCGCGGGAAUACGAAGGGGGCUAGCGUUGUUCGGAAUUACUGGGCGUAAAGCGCACGUAGGCGGAUCGAUCAGUCAGGGGUGAAAUCCCAGGGCUCAACCCUGGAACUGCCUUUGAUACUGUCGAUCUGGAGUAUGGAAGAGGUGAGUGGAAUUCCGAGUGUAGAGGUGAAAUUCGUAGAUAUUCGGAGGAACACCAGUGGCGAAGGCGGCUCACUGGUCCAUUACUGACGCUGAGGUGCGAAAGCGUGGGGAGCAAACAGGAUUAGAUACCCGUGUAGUCCCUGUCUCUUAUAC